This 793-nucleotide ribosomal RNA is filed under the name uncultured archaeon. RNAcentral's name for it is "bacterial SSU rRNA". It matches the Rfam family "Archaeal small subunit ribosomal RNA", at positions 85 to 879 of the family's 1478-position model. The record is from RNAcentral.
ACGGCUCAGUAACACGUAGUCAAUCUACCCUAUGGACGGGAAUAACCUCGGGAAACUGAGAAUAAUGCCCGACAGAACAUUAUACCUGGAACGGUUUAUGUUUUAAAUGAUUUAUCGCCGUAGGAUGGGACUGCGGCCUAUCAGUUUGUUGGUGAGGUAAUGGCCCACCAAGACUAUUACAGGUACGGGCUCUGAGAGGAGUAGCCCGGAGAUGGGUACUGAGACACGGACCCAGGCCCUAUGGGGCGCAGCAGGCGAGAAAACUUUGCAAUGUGCGAAAGCACGACAAGGUUAAUCCGAGUGGUUUCUGCUAAAGAAACCUUUUGCUAGUCCUAGAAACACUAGUGAAUAAGGGGUGGGCAAGUUCUGGUGUCAGCCGCCGCGGUAAAACCAGCACCUCAAGUGGUCAGGAUGAUUAUUGGGCCUAAAGCAUCCGUAGCUCGUUUUGUAAGUUUUCGGUUAAAUCCAUACGCUCAACGUAUGGGCUGCCGGUAAUACUGCAUAACUAGGAAGUGGGAGAGGUAGACGGUACUCGGUAGGAAGGGGUAAAAUCCUUUGAUCUAUUGAUGACCACCUGUGGCGAAGGCGGUCUACCAGAACACGUUCGACGGUGAGGGAUGAAAGCUGGGGGAGCAAACCGGAUUAGAUACCCGGGUAGUCCCAGCUGUAAACUAUGCAAACUCAGUGAUGCAUUGGCUUGUGGCCAAUGCAGUGCUGCAGGGAAGCCGUUAAGUUUGCCGCCUGGGAAGUACGUACGCAAGUAUGAAACUUAAAGGAAUUGGCGGGGGAGCAC